CCCCUAGAUGUUCUGGGCCGCACGCGCGCUACACUGAACAGUUCAACAAGUCUUAACCUUGGCCGAUAGGUCUGGGUAAUCUUUGAACGCUGUUCGUGAUUGGGAUAGACCUUUGCAAUUAUGGGUCUUCAACGAGGAAUUCCUAGUAAACGCAAGUCAUCAGCUCGCGUUGAUUACGUCCCUGCCCUUUGUACACACCGCCCGUCGCUCCUACCGAUUGAAUGGUCCGGUGAAAUGUUCGGACCGCGACAAGGCGGACGGUUCGCUGUCAGCUUUGCUGCGGGAAGUUCAUUAAACCUUAUCAUUUAGAGGAAGGAGAAGUCGUAACA
RNAcentral lists this ribosomal RNA (329 nucleotides) under uncultured eukaryote. Its description in RNAcentral is "partial 18S ribosomal RNA". It matches the Rfam family "Eukaryotic small subunit ribosomal RNA", at positions 1470 to 1796 of the family's 1831-position model. The record is from RNAcentral.